Molecule: ribosomal RNA, 806 nt
Filed under: Ruegeria atlantica
Lineage: Bacteria; Pseudomonadati; Pseudomonadota; Alphaproteobacteria; Rhodobacterales; Roseobacteraceae
Description: bacterial LSU rRNA
Rfam family: Bacterial large subunit ribosomal RNA
Source: RNAcentral
GGAUCAGACCCGAAACCGAGUGAUCUAGGCAUGGCCAGGUUGAAGGUAAGGUAACACUUACUGGAGGACCGAACCCACAUCCGUUGAAAAGGAUCGGGAUGAGCUGUGCCUAGGGGUGAAAGGCCAAUCAAACUCGGAGAUAGCUGGUUCUCUGCGAAAUCUAUUUAGGUAGAGCGUCAUCCGAAUACCCCGGGGGGUAGAGCACUGGAUGGGUAAUGGGGCCCCACAGGCUUACUGAUCCUAACCAAACUCCGAAUACCCGGGAGUACUAGAUGGCAGACACACUGCGGAUGCUAACGUCCGUAGUGGAGAGGGAAACAACCCUGACCUACAGCUAAGGCCCCCAAUUCAUGGCUAAGUGGGAAAGCAGGUGGGACGACCAAAACAACCAGGAGGUUGGCUUAGAAGCAGCCAUCCUUUAAAGAUAGCGUAACAGCUCACUGGUCUAAAUAAGUUGUCCUGCGGCGAAGAUGUAACGGGGCUCAAGCCAUGAGCCGAAGCUUAGGAUGCCGUAAGGCAUGGUAGCAGAGCGUAGUGUGACAUAGACUUAUCCUCUUUAGUGUCCUUCGGGGCACCUUGGAGGAUCGAGUCUUUUCGAUGAAGCCGGCGCGUGAGCGAUCCGGUGGAGAGAUCACUAGUGAGAAUGAUGACAUGAGUAGCGACAAAGAGUGUGAGAGACACUCUCGCCGAAAGUCCAAGGGUUCCUGCUUAAAGCUAAUCUGAGCAGGGUAAGCCGGCCCCUAAGCCGAGGCCGAAAGGCGUAGGCGAUGGGAACUAGGUUAAUAUUCCUAGGCCGUGGAGUGGUG